This 75-nucleotide transfer RNA is filed under the name Ostreibacterium oceani. RNAcentral describes it as "Cardiobacteriales bacterium ML27 tRNA-Gly". It matches the Rfam family "tRNA". Rfam says of the family: Transfer RNA (tRNA) molecules are approximately 80 nucleotides in length. Lineage: Bacteria; Pseudomonadati; Pseudomonadota; Gammaproteobacteria; Cardiobacteriales; Ostreibacteriaceae. The record is from RNAcentral.
GCGGGUGUCGUAUAAUGGCUAUUACCCGAGCCUUCCAAGCUCGUGACGUGGGUUCGAUUCCCAUCACCCGCUCCA